GCAGCACGGACGGAAGCGGAAGUGGCGGCGUGCGUGCGGCAGUGGAGACGGCGGCGGCGGUGGCUGGCGUCAGGCUGUGGACGAAGAGGCGGCCUCGGUGAGCCUCCCCGCAUCCCGUGCCCCCUGCUCGCUGCUGCCGCUGACCCUUGGGCGCUGCGCUGGUCCAGAGCGUGUUGUCCUCUGACGCCGUCAGAACCUGAGCUCCCUGCGAGCUGGGACUCCGCCGUGUCUUCAUUGCCUCCAGUGCAAAGCAACUGCUUGCAAGAGAACAAAAGUGUGUUCAGGUGCACAGAGUAGAAAAUUCAAGGAGCCUGAAAGGGUAUUUGGUGAAGACUUGAUGUGUUUUUCCCAGUCCUAACCUCCAAGGCCCAGUUCUCCCCUGGGGCAGAGGGAAACCCGUUUCUUACGGGUCUGCAAAGAAAGUCUAUGCAGGAACAUCUACGUGCGUUUCUGCAAAAGGUCAGUUACUUUACUUGGGGCUCUUAUACUUAACGUAGCUCGGAGAGCGCCCCAUGCAUUCAGAUACAGGUGGGAUUCCUCCGGAAACGGAGUUUUAUAGCACCAGACUUUAUCCCCUUUCCUGUAGAAAUUUAGGGUUUUUGCUGUCUUUUAUAACGAACAAUGCUAGCUUGACUAUUGCUUGUACAAACCGUUUUUUGCCCAAGUCGGACUAUUUUCUUAGGUUAAAUUCCUUGGUGCAGAAGUGCGAGGGCUGUAUUUAGGCCCCUAAAGGGGUGGUACCAAAUCGCCCUCCCCCACCAGCAUAAGAGGGGGCCGGCGACACCCUUGCCCAAGCUGGAUUUUGCAGACCUGGUAGGCGUGAGAUAGUAUUUCACUGUAGCUUGUGUUUCCUGUAAGUAUAGUCGAACGUCGUGAUGUUCCUGUUACAUCUAUGUUACGUUGAUCAUUGUUACCACUGACAGUCGUUUCGAGAUUGGAAAAUAUGUUUAUUAUAAACGUUUGACUAUUUAAAAGCCAUUUGUAUUUUAUCUUCUUGGCUCAUUUUUCUGUUGGGUGGAUGGUGGUGGUUUCUAGGUGCACUUUACAGAUUAAGAAAAUUCGCUUUCUGUCUAGUAGAAGUGUUUUUUUUUUUUUUUUUUUUUUUUUUUUUUUGGGACUCUGACACAUUUAUUGCUGAAUACCAUUUCUCGGCUGACCCGGAAGUGUUUCUUUUUUCUAUCUGUCAUUAGUCUUUGACUUUGUUUGUAUUUUUUUCUUUAAGCUAAGCAUCUAAAAUUGUUACUGGUCAUUAGUUUUUUUCUCUUUACGGCUCCUGCAUUUUUGUGUCAUCUCAGGAAUAUCUUCUCCGCUGUAAGAUCAUAAAACAUUUGAGAUUUUCUUCUAGAAAUGUAGUGGGGUUUUUUUUUCCCCAUAUAUUUAAAUGCUUAUGUCUAAUUUUAGAAAGUAUUCCUGGUAAGGAGUAAGGUAGGAAGCAAAACUUUUUUUCCACAAAUUGUCCCAACUUUAUUUCCCAAAAAAGCAUUCUUUUCCCCACUGAAGUGCUGUCUUUAUGGCAAGUAGAUUUGGGUCUGUCCCUAGACUCUUAUCCCAGUUUUCCAGAACCCCAUUGUCUUCCUGACCUCAUGUCCGGAGGCCCCUCCUCCUUGCAUUAUUUUGCACGUUUCUUUUUUCUCCUGAACAGCAGGCAAGUUUAUCUGGUUCUCCC
RNAcentral lists this long non-coding RNA (1666 nucleotides) under Homo sapiens (human). Its description in RNAcentral is "HSALNT0395612". Lineage: Eukaryota; Metazoa; Chordata; Mammalia; Primates; Hominidae. The record is from RNAcentral.